This 294-nucleotide ribosomal RNA is filed under the name uncultured bacterium. RNAcentral describes it as "partial 16S ribosomal RNA". It matches the Rfam family "Bacterial small subunit ribosomal RNA", at positions 333 to 619 of the family's 1533-position model. The record is from RNAcentral.
GGUAUCCUACGGGGGGCAGCAGUAGGGAAUCUUCCACAAUGGGCGAAAGCCUGAUGGAGCAACGCCGCGUGGGUGAAGAAGGUCUUCGGAUCGUAAAACCCUGUUGUUAGAGAAGAAAGUGCGUGAGAGUAACUGUUCACGUUUCGACGGUAUCUAACCAGAAAGCCACGGCUAACUACGUGCCAGCAGCCGCGGUAAUACGUAGGUGGCAAGCGUUAUCCGGAUUUAUUGGGCGUAAAGAGAACGCAGGCGGUCGUUUAAGUCUGAAGUGAAAGCCUUCGUCUUAACCGGCGU